RNAcentral lists this long non-coding RNA (571 nucleotides) under Homo sapiens (human). RNAcentral's name for it is "non-protein coding lnc-COMMD3-7:7". Lineage: Eukaryota; Metazoa; Chordata; Mammalia; Primates; Hominidae. The record is from RNAcentral.
GCCCCGGCCCGGAGCCCGAGAGCCCUCGACGCCCCCGCCGCGCCUCCCCCGCCUGGCCUGGCCCAGCGGCGUCCCCAGCGAAUUGUGUCGCUUUUCUGCCCUGGAAGCUCCCUCGGCCACGUUCCACUUUUUUUCCCAGUCCCAGGAGGCGUAAGAUAAAACCUCUGAUUUGCUGCGUGCUGCCGGGCACAUUCUCUGCCCUCUCGUCCGAAGGACGAGUUUAAAAUGGAGAGUUUAAAAUAAUAGCAUUUACAGGAGGAAAUAAAGAGCGAGGAGAUGGUUCUUUGGCCGGUUUUAAGACAUACAUGCUUUUUUUUUCUUUUAAUACAAGAUGUCUUAAGGGUUAAAAGCGUUCUAGGGUUUGCUGUAUUUCCUUCUAGAUUUGGGGUUUCCUGAGGAAAUCUUUUCCGGAGGGAAAUAGCAAAUCAACAUUAAGAUGGAAGCGAGACUUCUCAGCCACUUUUGGAAAUGAAGGGGGAAAUUGUAAAAAUACAUUCAGAAAAGGGCGCGAAGGCGGCGGCUGAGGGGAAGAAGCUGGAGUCUUGGGAGGAAGCGCAGUGGGUUGGAAUCG